RNAcentral lists this ribosomal RNA (460 nucleotides) under uncultured bacterium. RNAcentral describes it as "partial 16S ribosomal RNA". It matches the Rfam family "Bacterial small subunit ribosomal RNA", at positions 338 to 795 of the family's 1533-position model. The record is from RNAcentral.
CCUACGGGUGGCAGCAGUGAGGAAUAUUGGUCAAUGGACGAGAGUCUGAACCAGCCAAGUAGCGUGAAGGAUGACUGCCCUAUGGGUUGUAAACUUCUUUUAUAUGGGAAUAACAUGUUCCACGUGUGGGAUUUUGUAUGUACCAUAUGAAUAAGGAUCGGCUAACUCCGUUCCAGCAGCCGCGGUAAUACGGAGGAUCCGAGCGUUAUCCGGAUUUAUUGGGUUUAAAGGGAGCGUAGGUGGAUUGUUAAGUCAGUUGUGAAAGUUUGCGGCUCAACCGUAAAAUUGCAGUUGAAACUGGCAGUCUUGAGUACAGUAGAGGUGGGCGGAAUUCGUGGUGUAGCGGUGAAAUGCUUAGAUAUCACGAAGAACUCCGAUUGCGAAGGCAGUUCACUGGACUGCAACUGACACUGAGGCUCGAAAGUGUGGGUAUCAAACAGGAUUAGAUACCCGUGUAGUC